CCUACGGGUGGCUGCAGUGGGGAAUAUUGGACAAUGGGGGGAACCCUGAUCCAGCCAUGCCGCGUGUGUGAAGAAGGCCCUCGGGUUGUAAAGCACUUUCAGUGAGGAAGAACGCCUGGUGGUUAAUACCCAUCAGGAAAGACAUCACUCACAGAAGAAGCACCGGCUAACUCCGUGCCAGCAGCCGCGGUAAUACGGAGGUUGCGAGCGUUAAUCGGAAUUACUGGGCGUAAAGCGCGCGUAGGUGGCUUGAUAAGCCGGUUGUGAAAGCCCCGGGCUCAACCUGGGAACGGCAUCCGGAACUGUCAAGCUAGAGUGCAGGAGAGGAAGGUAGAAUUCCCGGUGUAGCGGUGAAAUGCGUAGAGAUCGGGAGGAAUACCAGUGGCGAAGGCGGCCUUCUGGACUGACACUGACACUGAGGUGCGAAAGCGUGGGUAGCAAACAGGAUUAGAUACCCUGGUAGUC
RNAcentral lists this ribosomal RNA (465 nucleotides) under Vreelandella stevensii. Its description in RNAcentral is "partial 16S ribosomal RNA". It matches the Rfam family "Bacterial small subunit ribosomal RNA", at positions 338 to 795 of the family's 1533-position model. Lineage: Bacteria; Pseudomonadati; Pseudomonadota; Gammaproteobacteria; Oceanospirillales; Halomonadaceae. The record is from RNAcentral.